AGACAUACCUGAGAGCUAUGAUGAUGUCACCACCCCUGAACACAACUCUGAUAUCAAAGUGAACACACCAGAGCAUUAUGAUGAUGUCAUCAUUAAUGGACAGGACUCUCAAGGUGUGACAGAGGCAGAUCAGGAGGAGUAUGAUGAUGUGAAGAACAGCAAUGAAGAUGAAAGAAACUUGUUGGACUAUGAUGAUGUGGGGGGAGGAGUCACACAGUGAGGGUGGGGCUGUAUGUAGUGGCCACACCCACUGCUUCAGGUCAUGAAAUUACAAUGUAACAACUUAGGGCUGAGUUUAAAUGAUCUUACAUAGCCACUUCAAGUUUUAAAUGUGUUUUAAUGAGUUCAGUAGUCUGAAUUAUGUUAAAAA
Labeo rohita (rohu) is the source of this 370-nucleotide long non-coding RNA. RefSeq lists it as uncharacterized. Lineage: Eukaryota; Metazoa; Chordata; Actinopteri; Cypriniformes; Cyprinidae. The transcript has 4 exons. The record is from RefSeq and is a predicted model, not a curated record.